UGUCUUUCAAUUAUAGACAAU
This 21-nucleotide non-coding RNA is filed under the name Caenorhabditis elegans. The record is from RNAcentral. Lineage: Eukaryota; Metazoa; Nematoda; Chromadorea; Rhabditida; Rhabditidae.